Molecule: long non-coding RNA, 707 nt
Filed under: Rattus norvegicus (Norway rat)
Lineage: Eukaryota; Metazoa; Chordata; Mammalia; Rodentia; Muridae
Description: long non-coding RNA NONRATT022801
Source: RNAcentral
AUUCCACUUGGUUCUUGCUUUGUUGUUGCUGAGUGGAACCCAGAGCUUUGUGCAUUCUAGACAAAUGUUUUGCUCACCCCAGACCCUUAGGGUAGGUUUUUAACAGGUGUGACUGCUCAGAGCUCCUGGCCCCGGGCCGUUAUGGCUGCUCUCUGAAGGUCUCCCGUUUCUUCCACUCUAUGCAGGAAUUCACCGUCUCCCAGCUCUGUGGCCAGCAGUGACUCAGGAAGUACAGAUGAGAUCCAGGAUGACCUGGAGCGGGAGGCGGAUGUGGAGCCCAUGGUCAGCUGAUGACGGAGGCCGGACGCUCCUGGUGGUCUUGGUGAUGGGGCCCAGCCUCCUCUCCCCACUGAGCCAUGAGGGCUCCUCGACUUGGGCUCCAGUCCUCGACACACAGACUUCUGUCCUCCCUUCUCCGGAGGCCCAGCGGGACCGCUGCUUCCUUCCUUCCUCCACCACCCACCCAUGGAAUGGUGCUGUCGAUUUUUCUAUUGUCCCCCCCACACCACAAAUGCAGACUUCUGUGCGUCGAUGCAGUGCAAUUGUGCCUUCUCCCUUAAGCUGAGCCACUUUGAGCUCCAAAGAAUUCUUCCUAGCAGGUGUUUUUUUAUACAAAACUAAGGUGAGGGUGGGGCCUGGGGGCGUGGUAUCUUUUGGUUUUCUCCCUCCCACCUGCUCCUCUGAUUGGACAUGAGCUUUGCUCCCUC